GAGUUUGAUCCUGGCUCAGGAUGAACGCUGGCGGCGUGCUUAACACAUGCAAGUCGAACGGGGAUGGCCCGCCGAGGAAGCUUCGGCCGAAUCAUGGGACAUCUUAGUGGCGGACGGGUGAGUAACGCGUGGGCAACCUGCCCUGUACAGGGGGAUAACACUUAGAAAUAGGUGCUAAAACCGCAUAAGCGCACAGCUUCGCAUGAAGAAGUGUGAAAAACUCCGGUGGUACAGGAUGGACCCGCGUCUGAUUAGCUGGUUGGAGGGGUAACGGCCCACCAAGGCGACGAUCAGUAGCCGGCCUGAGAGGGUGAACGGCCACAUUGGGACUGAGACACGGCCCAAACUCCUACGGGAGGCAGCAGUGGGGAAUAUUGCACAAUGGGGGAAACCCUGAUGCAGCGACGCCGCGUGAGUGAAGAAGUAUUUCGGUAUGUAAAGCUCUAUCAGCAGGGAAGAAAAUGACGGUACCUGAGUAAGCAGCCCCGGCUAACUACGUGCCAGCAGCCGCGGUAAUACGUAGGGGGCAAGCGUUAUCCGGAUUUACUGGGUGUAAAGGGAGCGUAGACGGUUAUGCAAGUCUGAAGUGAAAUGCCAGUGCUCAACACUGGAACUGCUUUGGAAACUGUGUAACUGGAGUGCAGGAGAGGUAAGUGGAAUUCCUAGUGUAGCGGUGAAAUGCGU
This 684-nucleotide ribosomal RNA is filed under the name uncultured bacterium. Its description in RNAcentral is "bacterial SSU rRNA". It matches the Rfam family "Bacterial small subunit ribosomal RNA", at positions 9 to 691 of the family's 1533-position model. The record is from RNAcentral.